This 71-nucleotide transfer RNA is filed under the name Marmota monax (woodchuck). RNAcentral's name for it is "tRNA.Ala". Lineage: Eukaryota; Metazoa; Chordata; Mammalia; Rodentia; Sciuridae. The record is from RNAcentral.
GAGGUUGUGGCUCAGUGGUAGAGCACUUGCUUAGCAUGUGUGAGGCACUGGGUUUGAUCCUCAGCACCACA